CUCUUUUAUAUGUGUAUAUUAGGUGUGGACCUACUGAAUGAACUACUCCAUGGAGUUUUCCACCUGCCAGCAAAAGUACUAACCAACAGAUAAUGAAGUCUGAAUCUAUAAAAGAGACCCAUGAAAGAGUUUGGAAAGAUGUACUUUCCACUGAAAUUACACAUUGCAAAGAUAUCUUUCAUCUUUCUAUUUCAAGUAAGUUGAACAGCACUUCUGUAUCUAUUCAAAAAAAGCAUAUUGAGCUUGAAUAGCUCACAUUAGUCAGGAUAGACAGACUUUUGGUGGCUAAUGGCUGUUCAACAUUAGGACCCAGGAAGUCCUAAUAAGGCCGAUUGUGGGCCUUAUUGUAUUAUGUAUGUGGGAACCGCUGGGAUCUUUGGAAAUUGUGGGGAAUUUAGAAACAGAAGUUUUGUUGUUUAAACAUACACAGUUCUCUUGGUUCCUGCCCCAAAAUAGUGGGUAACAUAUUAUUGUUUUUCAGCUACAUUAAUAAAAUAGGGUCUGAAGCCUCCA
This is a long non-coding RNA of Crotalus tigris (Tiger rattlesnake), 513 nucleotides long. RefSeq lists it as uncharacterized. The record is from RefSeq and is a predicted model, not a curated record. The transcript has 3 exons. Lineage: Eukaryota; Metazoa; Chordata; Lepidosauria; Squamata; Viperidae.